GUGUUGUAUGAAAGAAGAAAAGGCUAGCACCCCCCUUGACAAGGACAGAAGAGGACCUUAGGCCUGUACCACAUGCAUACAGUUAAGGCAUUGCCACCUACUUCAUGACUUCUAACCACAGUUUUUA
This is a small nuclear RNA of Dasypus novemcinctus (nine-banded armadillo), 127 nucleotides long. The record is from Ensembl. Lineage: Eukaryota; Metazoa; Chordata; Mammalia; Cingulata; Dasypodidae.